This is a non-coding RNA of Dendrothele bispora CBS 962.96, 96 nucleotides long. Lineage: Eukaryota; Fungi; Basidiomycota; Agaricomycetes; Agaricales. The record is from the annotation of a GenBank genome assembly.
GGUAGCGUGGCCGAGUUGGUCUAAGGCGCUGGAUUUAAGUUCGUCUUGAUUCCCAGUGAAGGUGACUUCGCGCGAGUUCGAAUCUCGCCGCUACCA